AAUUAAUGAACUUGAAUAAGUUUAUAUUUUGAAAAUAUAAGAAAGAAUUAAAUUUCUAUUAAUUU
Molecule: transfer RNA, 65 nt
Filed under: Mikadonius gracilis
Lineage: Eukaryota; Metazoa; Arthropoda; Insecta; Coleoptera; Melandryidae
Description: tRNA-Ser
Source: RNAcentral